This 1050-nucleotide long non-coding RNA is filed under the name Heterocephalus glaber (naked mole-rat). Its description in RNAcentral is "lncRNA (ENSHGLG00100043188.1)". Lineage: Eukaryota; Metazoa; Chordata; Mammalia; Rodentia; Bathyergidae. The record is from RNAcentral.
ACCCCGUCCUGUGGGGGUUGUCCAUUAAUGGACCAUCUACCAUCCGAGUCACGGCACCAGAAAUGUCAGGUAAAAGGGCCAAAAAUCAAGACCAGAUCGGGCCACAACAAGCCUUUAUUAAGGAACAGAUCUGCUAGGCUGUCUCUGAACAAAGGAGAGGCAAAAGCAAUAUGGCUGGGACAGGGACAGUCUUUUAUAGAGACUGGGGUGGGGUUUGUAGGGGCUGAGGUGGGGUUGAGUGAGGUAGUGACUAGGGAAUGGAGGAGCCGGUGAUGUCACUAGAUGGUAGGAGGUGAGCGAGUAUUAGGUUACUUUCUAGGUGGGAACAGGGGCAUGCUGGGAAGAAGGGUUUGUUCUUUGGUGGGAGCAACCAUCUUGGCAUGAUGUCACACAGGGAAGGGGGCGAGGCACCAUAGGAAGAGGGCAGCUACUACACAUAAUAGCUGCUGAGGUAGUGGGAGACCUAUCAAAAUCAAGGUGUGGUAAGUGUUCUGAAGAAAGCAAAGCAGGAGGAAGGGGGAAAGUGAGUGACAGGAGUGUUCUCUCUACAGGAUGGCAGGCAGGGCCUCUCCAAGGAGCCACACCCCAGCAGAGAGCUGAAGGAGGUGAAGGAGAGAUGCGGGCAGACAUCUAGGAGAAGAGCAAGUACAAAAGCCCUGGGGCUUGGAGAGCCACCAGGAGGCCUUUUGUGGAAAAAGUGAUGAGUUAAGAGGUGGCUCAGCCAGAGCUGCUGGAAGGAAGAACUGUAGCUGUGUUUUGCUGAAACAGAAAGAUUGUGGGAGGAGCAGCUUUGUUAGGGAAGUAACAGAAGAUGGGAAGACCCAGAAGCCCAGAAUUCUAUCAAGGACCAACUCAAACCAAGCUAUUCCAUUUUCACAUGAAUGAUUACGACAGAGUGCAGCAGACCUGCCCACUUCUGCUCUGGUUCCCUGAAAUCUGUUCUCAACACCACUUCUCCACUCAAACUCCACAGUGGCUUCCUUCCUCCCACUCAAAGUACAAGGCAAGGUUCUAACAAUAGCCUAUGAGGUGCUACAACCUUUGUUCCCC